CCGCGCGCAGGAAGGCUCGAUCGCCGAUAUCGGCGGCGACAUGGUGGCCUACCACUUCCACGAGCCGCUCGGCGUCGUCGGCCAGAUCAUCCCGUGGAACUUCCCGCUGCUGAUGGCCGCGUGGAAGCUCGCGCCGGCGCUCGCGGCCGGCAACUGCGUCGUGCUCAAGCCGGCCGAGCAGACGCCCGCGUCGAUCCUCGUGUUCGCCGAGCUGAUCCAGGAUCUGCUGCCGCCCGGCGUGCUCAACAUCGUCAACGGCUUCGGCCUCGAGGCCGGCAAGCCGCUCGCGUCGAGCAAGCGGAUCGCGAAGAUCGCGUUCACGGGCGAGACGUCGACGGGCCGCCUCAUCAUGCAGUACGCGAGCGAGAACCUGAUUCCCGUCACGCUCGAGCUGGGCGGCAAGAGCCCGAAUAUUUUCUUCGCCGACGUGAUGGAUCGCGACGACAGCUACUUCGACAAGGCGCUCGAAGGCUUCGCGAUGUUCGCGCUGAACCAGGGCGAAGUCUGCACGUGCCCAUCGCGCGCGCUCGUCGAGGAGAGCAUCUACGAUCGCUUCAUCGAACGCGCGCUCAAGCGCGUCGAGGCGAUCAAGCAGGGCCAUCCGCUCGAUUCGCAGACGAUGAUCGGCGCGCAGGCGUCGGCCGAGCAGCUCGAGAAGAUCCUGUCGUACAUCGACAUCGGCCGCGGCGAAGGCGCGCAAUGCCUGACGGGCGGCGAGCGCAACGUGCUCGGCGGCGAGCUCGCCGAAGGCUAUUACGUGAAGCCGACCGUGUUCCGCGGCCACAACAAGAUGCGCAUCUUCCAGGAAGAAAUCUUCGGGCCGGUGCUCGCGGUGACGACGUUCAAGACCGAGGAGGAAGCGCUCGAGAUCGCGAACGACACGCUGUACGGCCUGGGCGCCGGCGUCUGGACGCGCGACGGCAACCGCGCGUACCGCUUCGGCCGCGGCAUCCAGGCGGGCCGCGUGUGGACGAACUGCUAUCACGCGUAUCCGGCGCACGCGGCGUUCGGCGGCUACAAGCAAUCCGGCAUCGGCCGCGAGACGCACAAGAUGAUGCUCGACCACUACCAGCAGACGAAGAACCUGCUCGUCAGCUACAGCGAAAAGCCGCUCGGGUUCUUCUGAUCGCGCGCGGCGCGGGGCGUUUGCGCGCAGCAUGAACGGCUUGGCCGGGCCCGGCGGAAUCGCGUGUCGAUGCGCGUCCGUCGGGCCUGACGAUUUCGGGGCCUUUCGAUUUCGGGGCCCUGUGCCUUCGGGGCCUCCGGACCCUUCCGCUUUCGCGGCCCUUCCCCCCCCCCACGCCCCUUCGCCGUCGAAGCAUGGCGCGCCGGCGUCGAAUCGGCCUAGCACGGCCGAAUCGACGCCAACCGGCAGGCGGCCGUCGCCGCCGUUCAACCGCACUCGCGAUCGAGCGCCAGCGCACGGCGCUCACGCGAGCGCGCCGGCUCGGCCGCCGGUUCGUCGUGCACGCGGCCCCGGCUCAGGAACACGAACGCGGCGAGCGCGCACAGCAGCGUGACGGCCGUCAGCCCCUCGAGCAGGCCGCCGAACGCAACGGCGUCGCUUUGCCGCAGCGCGUCGCGCGCGACGCCCGGCAGCAGCGCGGCCCGCGGCGGCAGAAUCGCCGAACACGCCAAUGCGCCGAAGCGGGCACGCGUCGCGCGCCGUCGCGACGCGCCGGCCGCCGCCCGGCGGGCGCCCGCUAUUCCUGCGCGGGCCCCGGCGCCAGACGCCGCGUUUGCGCCUGCGCGGCGGGCAGCAGCGCAUCGCUAUCGUCCUUGAGCCCGACGCCCGUGAUCCCGAGCCGCCGCGCGUGCGUCAGCAGGUAGUGCAGCUUGUGCGCGGCCGCAUCGUGCGGCAGCCCCUCUGGCCGCACGUUCGAGAUGCAGUUGCGCUGCGCGUCGUGACAACCGACCUUCGGCGCAUACGUCAGAUACACGCCGAGGCUGUCCGGCGAGCUCAGGCCGGGCCGCUCGCCGAUCAGCACCGCGACGAGGCGCGCGCCGAGCAGCUCGCCGAUCUCGUCGCCGAGCGCGACGCGCGCCUGCCGCGCGACGACGACGGGCCCCACCCGCCAGCCGUCGAGCUUCGGCCGCAUCGCGUUCAGCAGCGGCAGCGCCUGCUUCGCGGCCGCGAACGCCGACAGCCCGUCGCCGACGACGAACACCAGGUCCGGCGCUUCGCCGAGCGCCGCGCCGUGCGCGGCGAGCAGCGCGCGGCUGUCGUCCGCGAGCCGGCGGCCGAGAUCCGGCCGCCGCAGGUAAUGCUGGCGGUCCGGCGCGGCGCUUUGCACGCCGAGCGUCGGCAGCCCCGCCGCUUCGAUGUCGCGGCGCAGCGCAUCGGCAUCGAGCGGCUGAUGGACGGCAUCGCGCGCCUGCGCAUGCGACAGGUUGAACGCGAGCAGCGGCGCGGUCGGCAGGCUGUUGCCCGCGCGGCCGAGCGCGAUCCGUGCGUUCGUGAACGAUUUCAGCUGUCCCCACGGAUUCUUUUCGACCCCGUCGCUCAUGCGCAGCGCCCCAUCCAGUCGUUCGCGCCGGCGAGCAGCGGCACGCGCGCCGACGCGGCGCGCAGCGCGCCAUGCGCGUCCGUGAUCUCCAUCGUCUCCAGCCACUCCUCGAACUCGGGCGCGCGGCGCAGGCCGAGCACUUCGCGCACGUAGAGCUGAUCGUGGAACGACGUGCUCUGGUAGUUCAGCAUCACGUCGUCCGCGCCGGGAAUGCCCAUGAUGAAGUUGAUGCCCGCCGCGCCGAGCAGCGUGAGCAGGUUGUCCAUGUCGUCCUGAUCGGCUUGCGCGUGGUUCGUGUAGCAGAUGUCGCAGCCCAUCGGCACGCCGAGCAGCUUGCCGCAG
RNAcentral lists this ribosomal RNA (2849 nucleotides) under Burkholderia mallei FMH. Its description in RNAcentral is "23S ribosomal RNA". Lineage: Bacteria; Pseudomonadati; Pseudomonadota; Betaproteobacteria; Burkholderiales; Burkholderiaceae. The record is from RNAcentral. RNAcentral also lists the same sequence under 1 other name.